CGUGCCCUAUCAGUUAGUUUUUUUGAUUAACAAGUAAUCAUCACUCCAGCCCCAAGUGAAAGAAAAAAGAAAAGAAAAGGUGUGGAAACACCAAUUAAUUUCUUGUUAUGUAUCUUGGAUCAUAUGUAUGAUCCAUCCUUCAUGCAACUAAUACAUUCCAUUCCAAAACCCAGUUGUAUGAUCACCUUGUCCUUUAUUUUGGUCAUAUUGAUCAGUAUUGCCUUGAACUGGCUUCAAAUCCUCCAUGGGAAACAAGAGCCUUGCACCAUUUUCUUGCACC
This 280-nucleotide unclassified non-coding RNA is filed under the name Hevea brasiliensis (rubber tree). Lineage: Eukaryota; Viridiplantae; Streptophyta; Magnoliopsida; Malpighiales; Euphorbiaceae. The record is from RNAcentral.